AUUGAACGCUGGCGGCAGGCCUAACACAUGCAAGUCGAGCGGCAGCGGGAAAGUAGCUUGCUACUUUUGCCGGCGAGCGGCGGACGGGUGAGUAAUGCCUGGGAAAUUGCCCAGUCGAGGGGGAUAACAGUUGGAAACGACUGCUAAUACCGCAUACGCCCUACGGGGGAAAGCAGGGGACCUUCGGGCCUUGCGCGAUUGGAUAUGCCCAGGUGGGAUUAGCUAGUUGGUGAGGUAAUGGCUCACCAAGGCGACGAUCCCUAGCUGGUCUGAGAGGAUGAUCAGCCACACUGGAACGGAGACACGGUCCAGACUCCUACGGGAGGCAGCAGUGGGGAAUAUUGCACAAUGGGGGAAACCCUGAUGCAGCCAUGCCGCGUGUGUGAAGAAGGCCUUCGGGUUGUAAAGCACUUUCAGCGAGGAGGAAAGGUCAGUAGCUAAUAUCUGCUAACUGUGACGUUACUCGCAGAAGAAGCACCGGCUAACUCCGUGCCAGCAGCCGCCGCCG
Molecule: ribosomal RNA, 508 nt
Filed under: uncultured bacterium
Lineage: Bacteria
Description: partial 16S ribosomal RNA
Rfam family: Bacterial small subunit ribosomal RNA
Source: RNAcentral